CCUACGGGAGGCAGCAGUGGGGGAUAUUGCACAAUGGGGGGAACCCUGAUGCAGCGACGCCGCGUGGGCGAUGGAGUACUUCGGUAUGUAAAGCCCUAUCAGCAGGGAAGAAAAUGACGGUACCUGACUAAGAAGCCCCGGCUAAAUACGUGGCAGCAGCCGCGGUAAUACGUAUGGGGCAAGCGUUAUCCGGAUUUACUGGGUGUAAAGGGAGCGGAGGCGGCCUGGCAAGCCUGAUGUGAAAUACCGGGGCCCAACCCCGGGGCUGCAUUGGGAACUGCCAGGCUGGAGUGCCGGCGAGGCAG
RNAcentral lists this ribosomal RNA (305 nucleotides) under uncultured bacterium. RNAcentral's name for it is "bacterial SSU rRNA". It matches the Rfam family "Bacterial small subunit ribosomal RNA", at positions 338 to 660 of the family's 1533-position model. The record is from RNAcentral.